RNAcentral lists this long non-coding RNA (284 nucleotides) under Phoenix dactylifera (date palm). RNAcentral describes it as "long non-coding RNA (PDAC_LNC018080)". Lineage: Eukaryota; Viridiplantae; Streptophyta; Magnoliopsida; Arecales; Arecaceae. The record is from RNAcentral.
CCCCUCAGGGAUAGGAAUCUCGUACUCUCUAAAUAACAGAGUGAAUACCAUACCGUAGGGUAGGGUGAGCCUAGGUCUGUCUAGUGGCUCACACAGGUAUCGAUAAAUGAGUUUGGGGAAGUUGAUUGGGGUGUCCUGAAGCAUGUAGAACAUGAGAGCUAGGUCUCUCUCAGAUACAAAAUCAAAUCUCCCGGUCUUAGGGAAGAUGGACCUAGACAAUAUACUCAGGAGGAUCCGCACCUCAAUCGGAAGUGAGCUAGCGGAUACCUCGUCUAAGGGUGACU